CUGAAACCGUGCGCUUACAAGCGGUCGGAGCCCUUUAGUGGGGUGACGGCGUGCCUUUUGCAUAAUGAGCCUACGAGUUGUCGUUGUUGGCAAGGUUAACCCGUUCAGCGGGGUAGCCGGAGCGAAAGCGAGUCUUAACAGGGCGUGUAGUCAGCAGUGGCAGACGCGAAACUUGGUGAUCUACCCAUGGGCAGGGUGAAGCUCCGUUAAACCGGAGUGGAGGCCCGAACCAGUAAACGUUGAAAAGUUUUUGGAUGACCUGUGGGUAGGGGUGAAAGGCCAAUCAAACUGAGAAAUAGCUCGUACUCUCCGAAAUGUUUUUAGGAACAGCCUCGGAGGAUGUCUGCUAGAGGUAGAGCUACCAAUAGGACUAGGGGGAGUCAAAUCCUACCAAAUCCUGAUGAACUCCGAAUGCCGUAAGAUAUACUCUGCAGUGAGGGCAUGGGUGCUAAGGUCCAUGUCCGAGAGGGAAAGAACCCAGAUCUACAGCUAAGGUCCCAAAGUGUAUGCUAAG
RNAcentral lists this ribosomal RNA (514 nucleotides) under uncultured Symbiodinium. RNAcentral describes it as "partial Bacterial large subunit ribosomal RNA". It matches the Rfam family "Bacterial large subunit ribosomal RNA", at positions 550 to 1063 of the family's 2925-position model. Lineage: Eukaryota; Dinophyceae; Suessiales; Symbiodiniaceae. The record is from RNAcentral.